UGAUGAUAGGGAGGAGGAGUACGAUACGAGCAUGUAUCAUUUCAGUGAGCACGUACCUCCAGCGCGGAAGAGCAAGAGCUUGAGCGAAACUCACAGAAACAACAGUAAGUUGCAGAGGUGGAGCGUACCUCCUAAGUUGCACAAAAACAACGUACCUCUAGUUACAGUGAUAUCA
RNAcentral lists this microRNA precursor (175 nucleotides) under Arabidopsis thaliana (thale cress). RNAcentral's name for it is "MIR854 microRNA precursor family". It matches the Rfam family "MIR854 microRNA precursor family". The record is from Rfam by way of RNAcentral. Lineage: Eukaryota; Viridiplantae; Streptophyta; Magnoliopsida; Brassicales; Brassicaceae.